CGGGUGAGUACACGUAAGUAACCUGCCCUUAAGUGGGGGACAACUCUGAGAAAUCGGAGCUAAUACCGCAUGUGAUGGUGUAAGGUAAAGCCUUGCUUGAGGAGGGGCUUGCGUCUGAUUAGCUAGUUGGUAAGGUAACGGCCUACCAAGGCGACGAUCGGUAGCUGGUUUGAGAGGACGACCAGCCACACUGGGACUGAGACACGGUCCAGACUCCUACGGGAGGCAGCAGCAAGGAAUAUUGCGCAAUGGGCGAAAGCCUGACGCAGCGACGCCGCGUGGGGGAAGAAGGCCUUCGGGUUGUAAACCCCUUUUACCGGGGACGAAUGACGGUACCCGGGGAAUAAGUCUCGGCCAACUACGUGCCAGCAGCCGCGGUAAUACGUAGGAGGCAAGCGUUAUCCGGAUUCACUGGGCGUAAAGCGGGUGCAGGCGGCUUGGUAAGUCGGAUGUAAAAUCUCCUGGCUUAACUAGGAGGGCGCAUUCGAAAC
Molecule: ribosomal RNA, 491 nt
Filed under: uncultured soil bacterium
Lineage: Bacteria
Description: bacterial SSU rRNA
Rfam family: Bacterial small subunit ribosomal RNA
Source: RNAcentral